Molecule: long non-coding RNA, 1114 nt
Filed under: Macaca fascicularis (crab-eating macaque)
Lineage: Eukaryota; Metazoa; Chordata; Mammalia; Primates; Cercopithecidae
Description: lncRNA (ENSMFAG00000051271.1)
Source: RNAcentral
GAGGCUGGACGUGGUGGCUUACACCUGUAAUCCCAGCACUUUGGGAGGCCAAAGUGGGCAGAUCACCUGAGGUCAGGAGUUCAAGACCAGCCUGGCCAACAUGGCAAAAACUUGUCUCUACAAAAAUACAAAAAUUAGCCAGGUGCAGUGGCGCAUGUCUGUAGUCCCAACUACUCCAGAGGUGGAGGCAGGAGAAUCGCUUGAACCCAGGAGGCAGAGGUUGCAGUGAGCCGAGAUCACGCCACUGCAAUCCAGUCAGGGUGACAGAGCAAGACUCCAUCUCAAAAAAACUGCAACAAAACAAAUUAAAAAAACAAACAAGACAAAGAGUGAGUUUUCUGUUACAUACUCAAUUUCUGGUAGGAAGCCCCUACAGGAGAUGUAGCAACAAGUAAGUUAGUAUGUAUGCACAAUGUACAUACAUACUUUAUCUCAAUUUCACAAAAAAAUUGUAUUCAAUCUUAAGUAGACCAUAACCAGCAAAGAAGUUGAUAUUAGACUUCAGCUCAGGAUUAGUCAUGUAAAUCUUUCAACAGUUCCAUCUAUCACAUCUCAUGCCAGGGGUUAUUCAGUGUCUUUUACUACUCAUAUAGAUUGUCUUUACCAAUAUGUUCCUUUGCAUUCAGCCCUGUUAACCCCUGGGUUCCCAUUGCAUUUCACUGCGUCCCAGCCUUAGAAAUGCACCGUUAUCUUUAUGCCCGUGUUAGCAUCUAAUCUGGCCAUAUGUAUUUCAGGCUUUCCUGGCUGUGCUUGAGUGAUCAGUGUGUCUACCAGAAGCUUCCUGAUAAAAUACUGCCUUCUCUGCUAUAGCAGACUUACAGUUUACUUUUAAAAUAACUCACUUGAAAUUUAAUAGGCGGUUUUAAAGCUACAUCUGAUUUAAGCCCCAUAAGUUCUAGUUUUUAAGAACACACUUGACAUGCCAACCUGGGGUUUUCUGAGCUGUUGAGUGGAAACACAGGCUUGCCAUUGUAUUGUGCGUUGUGGCUGUGUUCACUGUGGAUGUGAAAACAAAACCAAAAAAGCAAACCUGGGCUGGCCUGUGAAUAAACUUGGUGACACUGGAUAAACAACCAGAGAAUGCCGAAAACUAGGGCCGAAAUCUUUCAGUUUA